GAAGCUGGAUUCGCUAGUAAUCGCGCAUCAGCCAUGGCGCGGUGAAUACGUUCCCGGGCCUUGUACACACCGCCCGUCCAAGCCAUGGGAGCCGGGGGUGCUUGAAGUGCGUCGCCGCGAGGCGCGCCCUAGAGCAAAACCGGUGACUGGGGCUAAGUCGUAACAAGGUAGC
This 172-nucleotide ribosomal RNA is filed under the name uncultured bacterium. RNAcentral's name for it is "partial 16S ribosomal RNA". It matches the Rfam family "Bacterial small subunit ribosomal RNA", at positions 1322 to 1500 of the family's 1533-position model. The record is from RNAcentral.